Molecule: ribosomal RNA, 497 nt
Filed under: uncultured bacterium
Lineage: Bacteria
Description: partial 16S ribosomal RNA
Rfam family: Bacterial small subunit ribosomal RNA
Source: RNAcentral
GAUGAACGCUGGCGGCGUGCCUAAUACAUGCAAGUCGAGCGAACAGACGAGGAGCUUGCUCCUCUGACGUUAGCGGCGGACGGGUGAGUAACACGUGGAUAACCCACCUAUAAGACUGGGAUAACUUCGGGAAACCGGAGCUAAUACCGGAUAAUAUAUUGAACCGCAUGGUUCAAUAGUGAAAGACGGUUUUGCUGUCACUUAUAGAUGGAUCCGCGCCGCAUUAGCUAGUUGGUAAGGUAACGGCUUACCAAGGCGACGAUGCGUAGCCGACCUGAGAGGGUGAUCGGCCGCACUGGAACUGAGACACGGUCCAGACUCCUACGGGAGGCAGCAGUAGGGAAUCUUCCGCAAUGGGCGAAAGCCUGACGGAGCAACGCCGCGUGAGUGAUGAAGGUCUUCGGAUCGUAAAACUCUGUUAUUAGGGAAGAACAAAUGUGUAAGUAACUAUGCACGUCUUGACGGUACCUAAUCAGAAAGCCACGGCUAACUACGUG